CGCACCUUGCACCCUUUGGUAUUCCGAAGGGUACGCCCGUUUGAGUGUCAUUGUAAUCUCACUUCAACAACUUUAUUGUUGUUUGUAAUGUGGACUUGGAUGUUGCCGUGUCAUUACGGCUCGUCUCAAAUGCCUGAGUGUACCCUGUUUUGUCAGCGUAUCCAGUGUAAUAAACAUUUCACUAGAGUUGGUCAAAAGACCGCGUUUGCGAUUUGGGCUCUAUGCUUCAAACCGUCCGCUAUGUGGACAAUUUCUUGACAAUUUGACCUCAAAUCGGGUGGGACUACCCGCUGAACUUAA
RNAcentral lists this ribosomal RNA (300 nucleotides) under uncultured Sebacinaceae. RNAcentral's name for it is "eukaryotic LSU rRNA". The record is from RNAcentral. Lineage: Eukaryota; Fungi; Basidiomycota; Agaricomycetes; Sebacinales; Sebacinaceae.